UACUUGAUUACGUAUAGGCACAGUCUAACUGAGUAUGCUUACGACCGAGCUUGUGGGAUGCCUAUGUCCAACUGUGGACUGCAAUAGGCUGAAGAUAGCGAGCGAAAUGGCGAUCGAGCGGGAAGAGUUAAAGUGAUAGAUAAUUAAUUGUUGGGAAACCAAAUUGUAGUAAUGGCGACCACCAAAAAAUAGACUAAAAUUCAAAGGAUGUAUAACUAUUAGUAUUCAAAAAUAAUAAUAAAAAGUCAUUUUUU
This is a long non-coding RNA of Melitaea cinxia (Glanville fritillary), 254 nucleotides long. RefSeq lists it as uncharacterized. The transcript has 2 exons. The record is from RefSeq and is a predicted model, not a curated record. Lineage: Eukaryota; Metazoa; Arthropoda; Insecta; Lepidoptera; Nymphalidae.